AGCGAACGCUGGCGGCAGGCUUAACACAUGCAAGUCGAGCGGGCAUCCUCGUGGUGUCAGCGGCAGACGGGUGAGUAACGCGUGGGAACGUGCCCUUCGGUUCGGAAUAACUCAGGGAAACUUUAGCUAAUACCGGAUACGUGCGAGAGCAGAAAGGUUUAUCUGCCGAAGGAUCGGCCAGCGUCUGAUUAGCUAGUUGGUGAGGUUAUGGCUCACCAAUGCGACGAUCAGUAGCUGGUCUGAGAGGAUGAUCAGCCACACUGGGACUGAGACACGGCCCAGACUCCUACGGGAGGCAGCAGUGGGGAAUAUUGGACGAUGGGGGCAAACCUGAUCCAGCCAUGCCGGGUGAGUGAUGACGGCCUUAGGGUUGUAAAGCUCUUUUCUCCGGGACGAUAAUGACGGUACCGGAGGAAUAAGCCCCGGCUAACUUCGUG
Molecule: ribosomal RNA, 437 nt
Filed under: uncultured bacterium
Lineage: Bacteria
Description: partial 16S ribosomal RNA
Rfam family: Bacterial small subunit ribosomal RNA
Source: RNAcentral